GUAGGUGGCAAGCGUUGUCCGGAAUUAUUGGGCGUAAAGCGCGCGCAGGUGGUUCUUUAAGUCUGAUGUGAAAGCCCCCGGCUCAACCGGGGAGGGUCAUUGGAAACUGGGGAACGUUGAGUGCAGGAGAGGAAAGUGGAAUUCCACGUGUAGCGGUGAAAUGCGUAGAUAUGUGGAGGAACACCAGUGGCGAAGGCGACUUUCUGGCCUGUAACUGACACUGAGGCGCGAAAGCGUGGGGAGCAAACAGGGAUUAGAUACCCUGGUAGUCCACGCCGUAAACGAUGAGUGCUAAGUGUUGGGGGGGUUUCCCGCCCCUCAGUGCUGCAGCUAACGCAUUAAGCACUCCGCCUGGGGAGUACGGUCGCAAGACUG
This 375-nucleotide ribosomal RNA is filed under the name uncultured organism. RNAcentral describes it as "partial 16S ribosomal RNA". It matches the Rfam family "Bacterial small subunit ribosomal RNA", at positions 527 to 896 of the family's 1533-position model. The record is from RNAcentral.